UUUCAUCAUAAAUAUCCUCUGCUUUUAUAAACGUAUAAUGCGAAGCAAAUCUAGCUGGGUGUAAGCAGUAACCCAGAAUCAAAACUAUGACUAGCCUGAGAGACAAAAUUGAGGUCAACAGUCUAGAAAGUAAACGCUGGACGAGUGAUACACGUUGACGUAAUGAAUACAAUGACGAGCCAACUGAAAUAUGAAAAACAGAUACUUGUUAAGUAUCAAGGCCGAGUACAACUUGCAGUAUCGUGGCUAAUAGCCAAAUGAACCAAAUUCAAUCGAAGAAUCACGAGAUAAACGACGACAUAACAGCGCAAGCAACCUCUCGUUGUGACAGGUGGGCCACGACUGAACGCACAAGCUCCGCGAAGUUCGUUUAUUAAUGUGUGUAAAAAAGUCGUGCCGAUUCGAGAGGUCGAAUUUUUUACAUUUACCAGACUUACAAU
This is a long non-coding RNA of Megachile rotundata (alfalfa leafcutting bee), 440 nucleotides long. NCBI's taxonomy places the organism in Eukaryota, Metazoa, Arthropoda, Insecta, Hymenoptera, Megachilidae. The record is from RefSeq and is a predicted model, not a curated record.